UCGACCUCAGAUCAGGUAGGAGUACCCGCUGAACUUAAGCAUAUCAAUAAGCGGAGGAAAAGAAACCAACAGGGAUUGCCCCAGUAGCGGCGAGUGAAGCGGCAAGAGCUCAGAUUUGAAAUCGUGCCAAUUUUUUUGGCACGAGUUGUAGAGUGUAGGCGGGAGUCUUUGUGGAGCACGGUGUCCAAGUCCCUUGGAACAGGGCGCCUGAGAGGGUGAGAGCCCCGUGGGGUGUCGUGCGAAGCUUUGAGGCCCUGCUGACGAGUCGAGUUGUUUGGGAAUGCAGCUCCAAGUGGGUGGUAAAUUCCAUCUAAGGCUAAAUACUGGCGAGAGACCGAUAGCGAACAAGUACUGUGAAGGAAAGAUGAAAAGCACUUUGAAAAGAGAGUGAAACAGCACGUGAAAUUGUUGAAAGGGAAGGGUAUUGGGCCCGACAUGGGGAGUGCGCACCGCUGUCUCUUGUAGGCGGCGCUCUGGGCGCUCUCUGGGCCAGCAUCGGUUCUUGCUGCGGGAGAAUGGGUGCCGGAAAGUGGCUCUUCGGAGUGUUAUAGCCGGCGCCAGAUACCGCGUGCGGGGACCGAGGACUGCGGCUUCUGUCUCG
RNAcentral lists this ribosomal RNA (601 nucleotides) under Pichia membranifaciens. RNAcentral describes it as "LSU rRNA". It matches the Rfam family "Eukaryotic large subunit ribosomal RNA", at positions 1 to 609 of the family's 3401-position model. Lineage: Eukaryota; Fungi; Ascomycota; Pichiomycetes; Pichiales; Pichiaceae. The record is from RNAcentral.